UGAACGACUCUCGGCAACGGAUAUCUCGGCUCUUGCAUCGAUGAAGAACGUAGCGAAAUGCGAUACUUGGUGUGAAUUGCAGAAUCCCGUGAACCAUCGAGUCUUUGAACGCAAGUUGCGCCUGAAGCCAUUAGGCUGAAGGCACGUCUGCCUGGGC
This 157-nucleotide ribosomal RNA is filed under the name Pyrola picta. RNAcentral's name for it is "5.8S ribosomal RNA". It matches the Rfam family "5.8S ribosomal RNA". From Rfam's summary of the family: 5.8S ribosomal RNA (5.8S rRNA) is a component of the large subunit of the eukaryotic ribosome. It is transcribed by RNA polymerase I as part of the 45S precursor that also contains 18S and 28S rRNA. Functionally, it is thought that 5.8S rRNA may be involved in ribosome translocation. Lineage: Eukaryota; Viridiplantae; Streptophyta; Magnoliopsida; Ericales; Ericaceae. The record is from RNAcentral. RNAcentral also lists the same sequence under 4 other names.